This 117-nucleotide small RNA is filed under the name Marmota monax (woodchuck). Lineage: Eukaryota; Metazoa; Chordata; Mammalia; Rodentia; Sciuridae. The record is from RNAcentral.
AUUGGAUGUGGUGGCACAUGUUUAUAAUCCCAGCUACUCUGGAGGCUGAGGUAGACUGCUCACUUGAGCCUAGGAGUCCACGUCCAACCUGGACAACAUAGUGAGAUUCUGUCUCAA